UUGUUGGCUUUGGCAAUAUACAGACUAAAAUUGGCAAUAAAGAGAAGACUGAUAUGGCCCUAAGGAUGAUAUGCAAAUCCAUGAAGCACUCCAGAUUGAA
Molecule: small nuclear RNA, 100 nt
Filed under: Erinaceus europaeus (western European hedgehog)
Lineage: Eukaryota; Metazoa; Chordata; Mammalia; Eulipotyphla; Erinaceidae
Source: RNAcentral